This is a long non-coding RNA of Symphalangus syndactylus (siamang), 5593 nucleotides long. RefSeq lists it as uncharacterized. The record is from RefSeq and is a predicted model, not a curated record. Lineage: Eukaryota; Metazoa; Chordata; Mammalia; Primates; Hylobatidae.
UUACUGCAAGCUCCGCCUCCCGGGUUCACGCCAUUCUGCCGCCUCAGCUUCCCGACUAGCUGGGACUACAGGCGCCCGCCACCACGCCCGGCUAAUUUUUCGUAUUUUUAGUAGAGACGGGGUUUCACCGUGUUAGCCAGGAUGGUCUCGAUCUUUUGACCUCUUGAUCCGCUUGCCUCGGCCUCCCAAAGUGCUGGGAUUACCGGCGUGAGCCGCCGCGCUCGGCCGGCCCCAAAUACUUCUUAUUGGCUAAUCUGGAGCAAACCUACACCAUUGGCUGAAAGCUCCGUCUAUUUGAGGGUGACUGAGAGCGUCCCUUCCUUCUGUGUUGCCUGGAAACGGACUGUCCGCCUAGUAACAUCUGAUCACGUUUCCCAUUGGUCACCGUUUCCGGAAGCUCGGCGCAUGCUGGGUCUGCAGAUGGCGUCUAGGUGCACAGUGGGAAGUGUGAUUCCGUAGUCUUGGGCUGUUCGGCCAAGCGCCCGCCGGACAUGGGACGCCGGAGGGUCAUCAGCGUGGAGUCCUCGCUUUCAGCGUCCGCGGCUGGGAAAUCGGCCAUCGCUACGGCGGGAACUGGGACUCGUGCUGCGUCCCGGCCCUUCCCCAUCAGUCCACCGGACUCGUAGGCGCCCGCAUUGGUGCUGACAUAAUUUCCUGACCUCUGACCCGUAUUGUCUCGCGAUGAAAGGAAUCAGGAGGUUCUUUUGCUGUUCUUCUGUUUUGGAUGCAUUGGAAGAUGUAAUUUGGGCCUACACGUCUCCUCAAAGCCUGAUGCCCGCCUCCCACCUCCACGAAACUCUGGAGCUCAGGAACCACCACCCUCCCUCACCCACUGCAAGCUUGAACAUUUGAUGGUGGAAACCCCGCCCUGAGUUUGUAUUAUGGUCCAGAUUUUGAACAAAUUUCUCUAGAGAUUAAACAGAGCUGCGUCUGGAUCCUGCAGCAGUGAAGAGACCUGAAGACCAGAGGAAACACAGCAAAUGGAGUCUCGCUCUGUUGUCCAGGCUGGAGUGUAGUGUGGUGAUCUCGGCUCACUGCAAGCUCUGCCUCUCGGGUUCACGCCAUUCUCCCACCUCAGCACCUGGAGUAGCUGGGACUACAGGCUCCCACCACCAUGCCCGGCUAAUUUUGUUUUUGUAUUUUUAGUAGAAACAGGGUUUCACCGUGUUAGCCAGGAUGGUCUCGAUCUCCUGACCUUGUGAUCCGCCCGCCUCGGCCUCUCAAAGUGCUGGGAUUACAGGCAUGAGCCACUGCACCCAGCUGUUUUUUCAUUUCUAUUAUGAUUUGUUCUGUGGAGUGUCAGUGGCUUAGCGGUAUGUUUUUUACAUGUUUAUAAAGCUGAAUCGUUCUGUAUGUCAGCUCAGCACCCCUAGUGUCAGCCAUGUUACUCUCCUGCUGUGCAUAGAUGGGGGCCUGUCCAUACCUGAAUCUCCUGGGUUCCCGCUGUCAGCACCUGAAGGUACCCACCAGAUGUGUCUGUGGCUUCCCUCCAUCCACCUCUCUUGUGGUUCUCAUGUUUCUGCCUCCCUAGAGACCAUCUCUUUCGAGAGCAGUGCUUUCCAGUAGAAAUACAAUGCCAGACACAUAAGUCAUUUUAGAUUUUCUAGUAGUCAUUUUAGAAAAGUUAAAAAGAAAGAGGUGAAAUUAAUGUUUUAUUUCACCUAAAAUGUUAGCAUUAUCCAAAAUAUCACUUCAACAUCUUAUCAAAAUAAAAAUUAUUAAUGAGAUACUUUACAGUCUCUUUUCUUUUUUUGAGACAGGGUCUUGCUUUGUUGCCCAGACUGGAAUGCAGUGGCACCAGCAUAGCUCACUGCAGUCUCAGACUCCUGGGCUCAAGAGAUCCUCCUACCUCAGCCUUCCUAGUAGUUCGGACUACAGGCACACACCACCGUGCCAUGCUAAUUUUUUUUUUUUUUUAAAGACAGGGUCUCACUCUGUCAGCCAGGCUGGAGUGCAGUGGCACAAUCUCGGCUCACUGCAGCCUCAACCUCCGGGGCCGGAAUGAUCCUCCCACCUCAGCCUCCCAAGUAGCUGGAGCCACAAAUGUGUGCCACCACGCCUGACUAAUUUCUGUAUUUUUUUGUUAAGACAGGGUUUCGGCAUGUUGUCCGUGCUGGUCUUGAAUCCCAGAGCUCAAGUGAUCCACCCACCUUGGCCUCCCAAAGUGCUGGGAUUAUAGGCGUGAGCCACUGCACUUGGCCUAAUUUUUUUUUUUUCUGAAGAGAUGAGGUCUUGCUAUGUUGCCCAGACUGGUCUCAAACUUCUGGCUCAAGCAGUCCUCCCGCUUUGGCCUUCCAAAGUGCUGGGAUGACAGAUGUGAGUCACCACACUGGCCCAUUCUUUCUUUUAUACUGAGUAUUCAGAAUUUUUUUAAAAUGUGUUUUCCACUUACAGCAUUUCUCAGGUUGGACUAGCCAUCUUUCAAGUGCUCAGCAGCCACAUGUGGCAAGUGACUGCCUUAUUGGACAGCACAGCUCUGGAGGGUGAUUUUAUGUAUAUCCCCACUGCUCUCUCUGCCUCGUUUAUUCCCAUCUACCCCACACCCCUGCAGUCUGUGACUAUCGUGUCCCUCUCUCCUCUCUUCCUGUCUCUUGUGAACCUUUAAUAUGGAGAAUUAUUUCCAAUUCCUUAACAUCCUGCCCUGAAUUUUUUCUGUCUUACAUUCAAGGUCACAGUUUUCCUCUCACCCUCUUUUCAGUCUUUUCCCAUAAGAUGUGAUGUGACCUUUUGUCUUGGUUGGGUAUUUAUUUGCAAUACAAGAAUGAUUGUUUUCUUUGUUACAUUAGUGACUUACAUACUUUUCAUGUUUUUUGAGUACCUCUUUCUUGACAGAAUUUCAAAUUAAUUCUAGAGUUAAACUAGAAAGCCUUUUUUUUUUUUUUUGAGAUGGAGUCUUGCUCUGGCACCCAGACUGGAGUGCAGUGGUGCGAUCUCAGCUCAUUACAACCUCUGCCUUCCAGAUGCAAGUGAUUCUCCUGCCUCAGCCUCCUGAGUAGCCAGGAUUACGGAUGUGCACCACCACGCCUGGCUAAUUUUUGUGUUUUUAGUAGAGACAGAGUUUUGCCAUUUUGGCUAAGCUGGUCUCGAACACCUGACCUCAAGUGAUCUGCCCACCUCAGCUUCCCAAAGUGCUGGGAUUACAGGGGUGAGCCACUGUGCCCAACCUAGAAAGCUUAUUUUAUUAUUAUAAUUAAUUUAAUUUAAUUUUUUUUGAGACGGAGUCUCGCUCUGUUGCCCAGGCUGGAGUGCAGUGGCGCGAUCUCUGCUCACUGCAAGCUCCACGUCCCAGGUUCAUGUCAUUCUCCUCCCUCAGCUUCCUGAGUAGCUGGGACUACAGGCGCCCGCCAUCACGCCUGGCUAGUUUUUUGUAUUUUUCAUAGAGAUGGGGUUUCACCAUGUUAGCCAGGAUGGUCUCGAUUUCCUGAUCUCGUGAUCCACCCGCUGUGGCCUCCCAAAGUGCUGGGAUUGCAGGCGUGAGCCACCGUGCCUGGCCUAUAAUUAAUUUUUUUUGAGAUAGAGUCUCACUCUGUCUCCCAGGCUGGAGUACAAUGGCACGUCUUGGAUCCCUGCAACUUCUGCCUCCCAGGUUCAAGUAGUUCUCCCUGCCUCAGCCUCUCGAGUAGCUGGGAUUACAGGUGCCCACUACCAUGCCCAGCUAAUUUUUAUUAUUUUUAGUAGAGACGGGGUUUCACCAUGUUGGCCAGGCUGGUCUCGAACUCCUGACCUCAGGUGAUCCGCCCGCCUCUGCCUCCCAAAGUGUGAGAUUACAGGCAUCAGCCACCGCGCCUGGCCAGAAAGCUUAUUUUAAAAGGUGUGUAUAGAGCCCCUUAUGUUUCUGCUUGAUUUUUAAAAUAACAUAUUUAGGUCUAUAUAUUUUAGGAUGUAAUAUCUCAUUGUAUGUGUUGCUUUGCAUCACUGAACAUUUUUGGUAAUUAUUUUCUAUAUAUUAUAGAUAUUUCAUUAAACUAAUACAGAAUUUCAUAUUCAGGUCCAGGCAUAGUGGCUCAUGCCUGUAAUCCCAGCACUUUGAGAGGCCAAGGCGGGCAGAUCAUCUGAGGUCAGUGGUUCGAGACCAUCCUGGCCAACACGGGAAAACCCCGUCUCUAUUAAAAAUACAAAAUUAGCCGCUUGUGGUGGUGCACACCUGUAAUCCCAGCUACUUGGGAGGCUGAGGCAGGAGAAUCGCAUGAACCCAGGGGCAGAGGUUGCAGUGAGCUGAGAUCUCGCCACUUCACUCCAGCCUGGGCACAGAGCAAAACUCCUUCUCAAAAAAAAAAAAAAAAAAAAAAAAAUUAAUAUUCGCUCAUAUCAAAAAUGAAAAUUUAUUUUUACGAAUUUCUGUGUGAGUGAUAGAAUUAUUCUAAUGUUGGAGGUUCAUAAGAAAUGGAUGUAGUGAUUGUGUUUUUUCCUAUGCUCGAAUGGAAAAUGAUGAGGGAACACGAUGUUAGAGUUGCAGGGAGAAGGGGUGGAAAAGAGGGAUUCCAGAGUGCCAGGCACACAGAUUUUCUGGAAGGUUUACAUGAGGACUGCUGUGGUUUGAAUAUGUUCCCCGAAGUUCAUGUGUUGGAAACUCAACCCCUAAUGCAACAGUGUUGACCAGUGGAACCUUUAAGAGGUGAUUAGGUCAUGAAGGCUCUGCCUUCAUGAAUGGAUGAAGGUAGAGUGGGUUGGAUAUCUUGGGAGUGGGUUCCUGAUAAAAGGAUGAGGUUGGCUUCCUUCCCUUUCUCUCUUUCCCCCUCCCCCCGUCACAUGUGGUCACUCUCGCCCUUCCACUUCCACCAUAGGACGGCACAGCAAGACCUUCACCAGAUGCAGGCCCCUCACUUUCCCAGUGUCCAAAACCAUAAACCAAGUGAACUCUUGCUUAUAAAUCAUCCAGUCUGUGGCAUUCUGUUAUAGCAACACAAACGGACUAAGACAGGGACACUCAGUGGGCUCUUCUCUCUACUUGAUGGAGCACUCCCUGCGUGGUGCCUUCUAUUUGUAGACAUGAUGCUGUAAAUGCUCUUUCAGUGCCUUGAAGGCUUUUAUGUUUGAGGAGUUUACAGAGAAGCCCCUACAGGCUUCAGGUCCCUUCUUCUGUUGCUUCUUUGCUCUUCAGUACCUCCCCUAACCUGGUGCUAAAUUAGAUCAUAGUGUGGUCCUUGGACCAACAGUAUCAGUAGCACCUGAAAAUCAUGCUGGAAAUACAGAUUCACAGUCUGCUCGCCAGAAUACUGAAGCAGAAACUCUAGGAGUGAGACCCAACAAUCUGUAUUUAACAAGCCCCCCAGGCCCCUGGAUCCUCCUGGAAUCCCCGAUCCCUGUUGCUCCCUUGGGGAGUUUUCUAGUCCCUCUUACUUGAAGCAUGUCUUUCAGAGCCCCGCACCACCCAACUUGAGUAUCUGGGUCGGUGCGGUUUGUGCAAACAUCUCUAUGGGGUGAUGCAUGCAGAUAAAUGUUUAUGUGAACAUAUAAAGUCUGCAUGUGUGGGUGAACACGCCACAUCAUGUCAUUGUCUAUCAUUACAUAUCUAUGGUGUCUUGCUCAUUCCUCUCAUUUUCUGUCAUUUUACCUACUUUUACCUGUAGUACAAUGACUAAUAACUAUUAAA